Clostridium sp. C105KSO13 is the source of this 135-nucleotide non-coding RNA. The record is from Rfam. Lineage: Bacteria; Bacillati; Bacillota; Clostridia; Eubacteriales; Clostridiaceae.
UAACAAAGCAAUUAACUGCCGAAGACAGCAGGUGCCGCAAGGCAUAAGUUGAAGACGCCUGCCGAGGAAGAUUAAAUUCUUAAUGUGAAUUUUAUGUCUCUGUGUCUUUGGAUACAGAGACUUUUUAUUUUUGGC